RNAcentral lists this ribosomal RNA (506 nucleotides) under uncultured bacterium. RNAcentral's name for it is "partial 16S ribosomal RNA". It matches the Rfam family "Bacterial small subunit ribosomal RNA", at positions 29 to 523 of the family's 1533-position model. The record is from RNAcentral.
AGUGAACGCCGGCGGUAGGCCUAACACAUGCAAGUCGAACGGCAGCACAGAGGAGCUUGCUCCUUGGGUGGCGAGUGGCGGACGGGUGAGGAAUACAUCGGAAUCUACUCUGUCGUGGGGGAUAACGUAGGGAAACUUACGCUAAUACCGCAUACGACCUACGGGUGAAAGCAGGGGACCUUCGGGCCUCGCGCGAUUGAAUGAGCCGAUGUCGGAUUAGCUAGGUGGCGGGGUAAAGGCCCACCAAGGCGACGAUCCGUAGCUGGUCUGAGAGGAUGAUCAGCCACACUGGAACUGAGACACGGUCCAGACUCCUACGGGAGGCAGCAGUGGGGAAUAUUGGACAAUGGGCGCAAGCCUGAUCCAGCCAUACCGCGUGGGUGAAGAAGGCCUUCGGGUUGUAAAGCCCUUUUGUUGGGAAAGAAAUCCAGCUGGCUAAUACCCGGUUGGGAUGACGGUACCCAAAGAAUAAGCACCAGCUAACUUCGUGCCAGCCGCCGCGGUAA